Molecule: long non-coding RNA, 666 nt
Organism: Helicoverpa zea (corn earworm)
Lineage: Eukaryota; Metazoa; Arthropoda; Insecta; Lepidoptera; Noctuidae
Exons: 2
Source: RefSeq, a predicted model, not a curated record
CUCGUCUGUCAAAAGCCGGACAUAAUGAAUCCAUCAAAUUUUGACUAAAAAUAAUACAGCAAUUAUACAAGGUUUUCAUACCUACUCAAAACAUAAACAUUUAACGAUACAAUGCAUUUUGAAUGUUGUUUUAAAAUAGUAGUGCAAUUAUUUUAUAUGUACAAAAUUUCCGCUCGCCCCAGAUCGUCGUUUAUCUUCGGUUUUGAUCGGCAAACUUCGUACGUGACUUUGGUAUUGGGAGUGACGCCAUUUUGUGGCCAACUGCGCAGUGCGGCCCCCCACCUCAGGUCGAGUAUAUAAAGCCGCCAUGACGUCAUGUGCCCAACAUUCGUUUUUCGUCGUGGUGAAGUGCAGAUGUGGCUACGUUGUGUGUUGUGCUGAAGAUUUCAAGAAGUGAUAAUUGUGCCUGGUCGGAUUCAGUCCCAUUGCGUUUCGCGUGGGCCUGCAUCCGUCGGCCGCCAUCUUGGUUGCCGCUGGGGCGUGGUCGCUGCUAGCUACAAAAUGGGUUUGUAAAACGGUAUCAUGCAUUUAUAUAAGUAGUUAAUUUUAAGUGUUUCAAUUUCUCACGCAUAACGAUUAAAUUGGAAUUUUGAUUUUUAUUCAUAUUGAAUAAUAAAAUUGUACAUAUGUUUAAGUAUGGAAAUAAACAAUUUUUGAAAAAAGAAA